AGCUGUUCCCCUCUGGAGGUUUUUGACCUUCACACUUAAAGGGCCCUGGAUCUAUCCGGCGGCCCUCUUUUUUUACCCGC
This is a non-coding RNA of Agrobacterium tumefaciens, 80 nucleotides long. The record is from Rfam. NCBI's taxonomy places the organism in Bacteria, Pseudomonadati, Pseudomonadota, Alphaproteobacteria, Hyphomicrobiales, Rhizobiaceae.